Molecule: long non-coding RNA, 492 nt
Organism: Quercus robur (English oak)
Lineage: Eukaryota; Viridiplantae; Streptophyta; Magnoliopsida; Fagales; Fagaceae
Exons: 3
Source: RefSeq, a predicted model, not a curated record
UGGUGGCUGUGCUGGCAUCAUCUGGCACAUAGUAAUCUUUAAAGACUUGUGCAAUGACAAAUCAAACCAAACAAGCCUAUGUUGCUGCUCUUGAACUUGCAAUCGAGGGGCAUGAUGCCAAUUCAGUUGGAUGAUUUGGACGACAAGUUCACCAAUGGCCAUGCUGGGAAAAACCUCAGCCUGUUAUCCACAGAUGGAAAAUCGACCAACAUUAACUGGCAGGAUAUGUGCGGUUGGAAAAGUUGAUCGACAAAAAUUACUCAACCAAAAAGGAUGCAUUAUGUGGAUCACAGGUCUCAGCUGUUCAGACAUAUGGAUCGAGCAGAUCAUAUCAGGAAUGCAAAAGCUGUUAUCUAAGUUUUCAUUCAACAUCAUCAAAUCUUGACGAUUGUAACAGAGUGGUCUAUGUGGUAAGUUUAUUUGACCAGGAUGAAGUAUGUGUCAAAAAGUUUUUUUUUAUUUUUUUACCGUGGCAUUAAUUUUAUGGAAUCU